GGCACUCUAAUUCAGUUUAUUCACAAUAAGCAUUUCACAUUGCCAUAAUGUCACACAAUUUAUACUACCAAGUGACGAACGAGACAACCAAUGCUAUUGGCAGAUGAUGCAAUUUUGAAGCCUAAUUAAACCUUCAAGGCCUCCAUCUCCCUCUCCACAAUCUUACACCUCACCAAGCUCCCAAUAGUAUUCAAAACCAUCUUCACAUCUUCCCAUCUAUCCCCAUUAGCCAAUUUCUUAUACAAAUAGCUAUCAAAUGUCAUUCUCUGCACAUACUCAUCUCCACAUAGCUCUACCAAUGCUUCUCUCGCUGCAUUACUACCAUAAAACACUCUCUGCAGCAAGUCCAAGAAUCUGAAUGUUUUCAUGAACUUCCUAUCCCACUCUCUCAAAUACUCUCUCUUUAAAUCUUCUUCGCUUACCAUCUUCUCCCCUCCCUCAGAAGCCUUCACUAUCGCCUCUCCGCACAUUCUUCCUGACUUCGCCGCGAAGUAUAUCCCUUCGCCAGAGCACUUUGUCACGUAUCCCGCCGCAUCCCCCACCAGCGCUACUCUCCCCCGUACCCUCGUCGGACGUGGGUGCUCCGGUAUUGGGUGUGCCUCCAAUUUGAUCACUUUCCCCCCAUUGAUCUUGUGGCUUACCCUUUCUCUGAUCCCUCUCUGGUAUACUUUAAUGUCUGGUUUCGCGCACACUGUACCAGUGCCCACUGCCACGUGGUCGCAUUUGGGGAAUACCCACGCGUAGAAAUCGGGUGACACGUCAUUUCCUACGUACAUCUCUGCGAGAUUUUGGUAGUAUUCCAUUUUCUCUUCGGGUAAUCUAAUUCUCUCUUGGAAAGCGAUGGCACAAGUGUAAUUUCCAGCUUUUAUCGAUUUGGCGACUCUGCUGUUGGCUCCGUCCGCUCCGAUGAUCACAUCGACGGCUAGGGUGCGUUUGGUGUUGUUGCUCGUGUGGUGGAUGAUGUAAGGCUCGGUUGAUGAGGAAGGGACCUCGAGAUGCGUGACAAGGGCGGGAAUCAAAUGAACGCCACUUGAUUGGGCACGAGAGCGGAGGAAGGAGUCCAGUACUUCACGGCGGAGCAUGGGGAUGGACUCGUGAGGUUUGAGGGUUUUGGAGCCAAAAUCAACAGUGAGAUUAGAAGGGGAAAUGAUUUUCAUGCGAGUGACAUGGCGGUCGAUGAGGUAGAGAGGGAGGGAGAAUUCGUCGAGCAUGCAGAGAGGAAUGGCUCCGCCACAGGGCUUGGCUGUGGAAGUGCUGCGUUCGAAGAGAAAAGUUUCGAUUCCACCAGAGGUGAGGGCUUCCGCAGCAGAGGAGCCAGCUGGGCCGCCUCCAACGACGGCAACGCGUAGCUUCCGGCCAGAGAGUAGCUUGGUGGGGGAAGAAGAGGCAGUAAUAGUAAGAGUUGGGCGUUUUGAGUGGGCGCAUUCGGAGGAGGUUGUGGUUUUGAGUGGAGACAGGAAGCAUGGUUGAAAGGUGUGGGGGGUUUGUGUCAUAGACAUGGUUUGUUGAAGAAAGUAUUGGGUUUUCCAGCAAAAGGAGAGUAUGUGUGUGUGAUGUGUGCCUGUGCGGAGAUGAUGAUGGGUUUGGGCUUGGCUCUUAUGCAAGUGGCAAUGGUGGAUUUGAAUAUUUUAAAGUUUAUUUAACAUCAAGGAAUAGUAAAAUGUUGAAUUCUUUUGAACUUCUGUUUGUAUUUUAUCACUGCUUUUGAUGCCCCCUUUUUCCCCAAUCUGCACUUCAUAAUCAAAGAUUGUAUUGGAGAUCUCACAACUGAUUCAAUUUCCCAUCUGCAAGGCUUGCUAUCGGAGAUUGAGCACUUGCUUGCUUUUCUGCACACCAUGCCGCAAGAGAAGACUUGUUUGUAUAUGUUUUUAAAAUUAGACCCAAAAGUGAAGCAAUAUAAUUAUUAUUGCCUUCCGUUCAGUGCAUCCACAUCAGGGUAUUCCAAUGAACAAAUGUUUGUUCUGCUUAAUC
Molecule: unclassified non-coding RNA, 1971 nt
Filed under: Hevea brasiliensis (rubber tree)
Lineage: Eukaryota; Viridiplantae; Streptophyta; Magnoliopsida; Malpighiales; Euphorbiaceae
Source: RNAcentral